RNAcentral lists this unclassified non-coding RNA (815 nucleotides) under Hevea brasiliensis (rubber tree). Lineage: Eukaryota; Viridiplantae; Streptophyta; Magnoliopsida; Malpighiales; Euphorbiaceae. The record is from RNAcentral.
GUCUUGAAUUAGCUAGAAAUGUGCACUUACAAAUUACAACACACAGAUAAGUUUCCAGACUCUUUACAGUUUACAGAUUAAUAAGUGCACAUUUCUAGCUAAUUCAAGACCCAUAAACUAGAUUCAUAUGGUUCUAUUCUAGAGGCUGAAAUGUGUAAUGUCAUACUCAUUAACAGCCUAUUGAGUUUGUCCACCUUUCUAUCCUAGCACCAAAGGAUGCCACUGUUGUGUUUCCCUGACUAGCUAUAGACCUCACAAUUCUACCAUUAGCUGCAAAACUAAACCCUUAGCACAGCAACAGUACUGCAUGCUCACACAGAAGUAACACCGAUGGUACCAUGAGAAGUAGCACCUUGAUUGAACAAGAAGCGGACAACAACACAGGUAAUAUUGUCUGCACUGCCUCUCUGGUAUGCCUCCUGCAAUAACCUCUUUGCUGCCUGCUCUGGGUCCUCAAUUGGCUUGGUCAUUUCAACAGCUUCCUCAUUGGAGACAACAUCCCAUAAUCCAUCACUUGCAAGGAUAAGAAACUCAAGUGAGCUGUCAAUCUUUUCCUCCUGAAUUUCAGGAUCAGCAACAACAUACUGCUUCAAGAGCCUAUCACCAAAUGCACGAGAGACAGCAAGAACUCCACCAACUCUCCAAGUCCCUGCCCACAUCACAAACCCUCCAGCAUCCUCAAUUCGUUGCCGCUCGUCAGUUUGGUCAGGCUUGUGAUCUCUCGAAACAGCAAUAGCAUUACCACCUCGGCAUAUGACAGCUCUAGAGUCUCCAACAUUGGCAACAAGUAAACGAUCACCAACAAGAAUGGCUGU